This is a long non-coding RNA of Macrobrachium nipponense, 783 nucleotides long. RefSeq lists it as uncharacterized. The record is from RefSeq and is a predicted model, not a curated record. Lineage: Eukaryota; Metazoa; Arthropoda; Malacostraca; Decapoda; Palaemonidae. The transcript has 4 exons.
GUAAGGUUUUUACAUACAGUAGUACAUAUUACAUACGUACAUAACUUUUUUUACAGGAAUUUCCAACCAAGUUUGAUUAUGUACAUAUGUACAUGUUAUAAACCACUGUACGUAUGGUUACUGUAUGUAACUUACUAAACAUACAUAACAUGACUUAACUUUGAUACUUUUUUGGUACAUUCCAGAAAACCAGGACCCCCUCCAUGAUGCAGGCUAUGGGGCCACAUAAAACUUUGUCCAGGGUUACUACAUAACAUAAAGAACCCCCUGAAUGAUGUAGGCUAUGGGGCCACAUAAGACUUUGUCCAUCCAGGGUUACGAUGAAUGCAAAAUUUAAACUAAAGAACCCCCUGAAUGAUGUAGGCUAUGGGGCCACAUAAGACUUUGUCCAUCCAGGGUUACGAUGAAUGCAAAAUUUAAACUAAAGAGCUACCAGACUGGGAUUUUAGUGUACUCCAGGAUCUAACAAAUACAUACGUACUACUACGAAGUGUGCAGUGCAUAAUAUAUAGUGUUUAGUGUAUAAUCUAACCUAAGGAUUAAGUGUAGUACAUUGUGCUUUUUAGUGUCACAAGAGUUUAAUAAAGAAUUAUACCUUCAAGAACCAUCCUUUGCCAUUGGAAUAACCACACUACACAUCAUGCAAUCUACUUGCAUGUCACACAGGUAAGGUCUCUAACUUUUUCUUAGUUUAAGGCAUAUUUCCAAGUGUCGUUCCGGCUUACGACGAUUUUCGGCUUACGACGCGCCUCAAGAACGGAACCCCCGUCGUAACCCGGGGAC